This 253-nucleotide ribosomal RNA is filed under the name uncultured bacterium. Its description in RNAcentral is "partial 16S ribosomal RNA". It matches the Rfam family "Bacterial small subunit ribosomal RNA", at positions 524 to 776 of the family's 1533-position model. RNAcentral also lists the same sequence under 1 other name. The record is from RNAcentral.
UACGUAGGGUGCAAGCGUUGUCCGGAAUUAUUGGGCGUAAAGAGCUCGUAGGCGGUUUGUCGCGUCUGCUGUGAAAACGCGAGGCUCAACCUCGCGCCUGCAGUGGGUACGGGCAGACUAGAGUGCGGUAGGGGAGAUUGGAAUUCCUGGUGUAGCGGUGGAAUGCGCAGAUAUCAGGAGGAACACCGAUGGCGAAGGCAGAUCUCUGGGCCGUAACUGACGCUGAGGAGCGAAAGCGUGGGGAGCGAACAGG